RNAcentral lists this ribosomal RNA (1280 nucleotides) under metagenome. RNAcentral describes it as "SSU rRNA". It matches the Rfam family "Eukaryotic small subunit ribosomal RNA", at positions 503 to 1800 of the family's 1831-position model. The record is from RNAcentral.
CUUGCAAUGGAAUGAGUACAAUUUAAAUCCCUUAACGAGGAUCAAUUGAGGGCAAGUCUGGUGCCAGCAGCCGCGGUAAUUCCAGCUCCAGUAGCGUAUAUUAAAGUUGUUGCAGUCAAAAAGCUCGUAGUUGGAUUUUUGGCCGUGAUUGACGAGCCGUGGUCCUCUGGAUCGCGGUUCGAAGGUCUGGCCUUUCUCGUGGCGAACGUGUCGGGGUCCUCACGGGCUUCGGCAUGGUAGCCACGUCUUUUACUGUGAAAAAAUUAGAGUGUUCAAAGCAGGCGUUUCGCACAUGAAUACAUCAGCAUGGAAUAAUAAGAUAGGACUUUGGUGCUAUUUUGUUGGUUUGCGCACCGAGGUAAUGGUUAACAGGGACAGUUGGGGGUAUUCGUAUUCGGUUGUCAGAGGUGAAAUUCUUGGAUUUACGGAAGACGAACGACUGCGAAAGCAUUACCAAGGAUGUUUUCAUUAAUCAAGAACGAAAGUUAGGGGAUCGAAGAUGAUUAGAUACCAUCGUAGUCUUAACCAUAAACUAUGCCGACUCGGGAUUGGCAGUCGUUUUUUACUGACUCUGCCAGCACCGUAUGAGAAAUCAAAGUCUUUGGGUUCCGGGGGGAGUAUGGUCGCAAGGCUGAAACUUAAAGGAAUUGACGGAAGGGCACACCAGGGGUGGAGCCUGCGGCUUAAUUUGACCCAACACGGGGAAACUCACCAGGUCCAGACAAAGUGAGGAUUGACAGAUUGAGAGCUCUUUCUUGAUUCUUUGGGUGGUGGUGCAUGGCCGUUCUUAGUUGGUGGAGUGAUUUGUCUGGUUAAUUCCGAUAACGAACGAGACCCCAACCUGCUAACUAGUUCCCGCUACUUCACGGUAGUCUGUGGCACUUCUUAGAGGGACAUUUCAGUUUUACUGGAAGGAAGUUUGGGGCGAUAACAGGUCUGUGAUGCCCUUAGAUGUUCUGGGCCGCACGCGCGCUACAAUGAUGCAUUCAACGAGUUUACAACCUUGGUCGAGAGGCCUGGGUAAUCUUCUAAACGUGCGUCGUGAUGGGGCUAGAUUCUUGCAAUUAUUAAUCUUCAACGAGGAAUCCCUAGUAAGCGCAAGUCAUCAACUUGCACUGAUUACUGUCCCUGCCCUUUGUACACACCGCCCGUCGCACCUACCGAUUGAAUGGUCCGGUGAAUUCUCCGGAAUCCUGCGAGGUUUGGUUUUCGGUCCCGAUCUCGCGGGGUGAAGCUGAAUAAACCUUACCAUUUAGAGGAAGGUGAAGUCGUAACAAGGU